AUGAAAGGCAAAAUGAGGGUNNAACUGUCUCUUAUAGUAAAUCAAUUAAACUGAUCCCCUAGUAAAAAAGCUAGGAUAACCCCAUAAGACCAGAAGACCCUGUGAAGCUUAAACUAACCUACUAAACCAAGUAGUAGCUACUUUCGGUUGGGGCGACCUUGGAAUAAAAAAGAACUUCCAAACACAAUGACACUAAACCAUUACACUUUAGGCUCACAAGCCUACACCCAGACCCAGCACAGCUGAAAAUUGAACCAAGUUACUCCAGGGAUAACAGCGCCAUCCUCUUCAAGAGCCCAUAUCAAAAAGAGGGUUUACGACCUCGAUGUUGGAUCAGGACAUCCUAAUGGUGUA
This 354-nucleotide ribosomal RNA is filed under the name Taeniophallus brevirostris. RNAcentral describes it as "partial 16S ribosomal RNA". It matches the Rfam family "Bacterial large subunit ribosomal RNA", at positions 1992 to 2557 of the family's 2925-position model. The record is from RNAcentral. Lineage: Eukaryota; Metazoa; Chordata; Lepidosauria; Squamata; Dipsadidae.